GCUGGUGUAGCUCAAUCGGUAGAGCAACUGACUUGUAAUCAGUAGGUUGUGGGUUCAAUUCCUAUCACCAGCUUCA
RNAcentral lists this transfer RNA (76 nucleotides) under Geovibrio thiophilus. RNAcentral's name for it is "tRNA-Thr". It matches the Rfam family "tRNA". From Rfam's summary of the family: Transfer RNA (tRNA) molecules are approximately 80 nucleotides in length. Their secondary structure includes four short double-helical elements and three loops (D, anti-codon, and T loops). Further hydrogen bonds mediate the characteristic L-shaped molecular structure. tRNAs have two regions of fundamental functional importance: the anti-codon, which is responsible for specific mRNA codon recognition, and the 3' end, to which the tRNAs corresponding amino acid is attached (by aminoacyl-tRNA synthetases). tRNAs cope with the degeneracy of the genetic code in two manners: having more than one tRNA (with a specific anti-codon) for a particular amino acid; and 'wobble' base-pairing, i.e. permitting non-standard base-pairing at the 3rd anti-codon position. The record is from RNAcentral. Lineage: Bacteria; Pseudomonadati; Deferribacterota; Deferribacteres; Deferribacterales; Geovibrionaceae.